This 119-nucleotide ribosomal RNA is filed under the name Triticum aestivum (bread wheat). The record is from RNAcentral. Lineage: Eukaryota; Viridiplantae; Streptophyta; Magnoliopsida; Poales; Poaceae.
GGAUGCGAUCAUAACAGCACUAAAGCACCGGAUCCCAUCAGAACUCCGAAGUUAAGCGUGCUUGGGCGAGAAUAGUACUAGGAUGGGUGACCUCCUGGGAAGUCCUCGUGUUGCAUUCC